ACGACGCUGGCGGCGUGCCUAACACAUGCAAGUCGAGGGGUGAUUUCGGUCAUCACUGGCGCACGGGUGAGUAACGCGUAGAUCAUCUGCCCCUAUCACUGACAUAACAGUUCUAACGGACUGCUAAUAUCAGAUGAGGUGAGCAAUCAUCAAAGUUUCGACGGAUAGGGAUGAGUCUGCGUCUGAUUAGGUAGUUGGUGAGGUAACGGCUCACCAAGCCGACGAUCAGUAACUGGUCUGAGAGGACGAACAGUCACACUGGAACUGAGACACGGUCCAGACUCCUACGGGAGGCAGCAGUGAGGAAUAUUGCACAAUGGGAGCAAUCCUGAUGCAGCGACGCCGCGUGCGGGAUGAAGGGGCUUAGCCUCGUAAACCGCUGUCGGAGGGGACGAAUGGUACAUUUGGCGUACUGAGACGGUACCCUCAAAGGAAGGAUCGGCUAACUACGUG
Molecule: ribosomal RNA, 453 nt
Filed under: uncultured bacterium
Lineage: Bacteria
Description: bacterial SSU rRNA
Rfam family: Bacterial small subunit ribosomal RNA
Source: RNAcentral